RNAcentral lists this signal recognition particle RNA (299 nucleotides) under Oncorhynchus kisutch (coho salmon). Its description in RNAcentral is "Metazoan signal recognition particle RNA (ENSOKIG00005022590.1)". It matches the Rfam family "Metazoan signal recognition particle RNA". Rfam says of the family: The signal recognition particle (SRP) is a universally conserved ribonucleoprotein. It is involved in the co-translational targeting of proteins to membranes. The eukaryotic SRP consists of a 300-nucleotide 7S RNA and six proteins: SRPs 72, 68, 54, 19, 14, and 9. The record is from RNAcentral. Lineage: Eukaryota; Metazoa; Chordata; Actinopteri; Salmoniformes; Salmonidae.
GCCGGGUGCGGUGGCAUGUGCCUGUAAUCCAAGUCACUGGGAGGCUGAGGUUGGUGGAUCAAAUGAGCUGAGGAGCUCUGGGCUGCAGCACACUAUGUUGAACGUGUGUCCACGCUAAGAUCGAUAUGGUGUUCCAGGGGGAGCCCGGGACCACCAGGUUGUCUAAGGAGGGGUGAACCGGCCCAGGUCGGAAACGAAGCAGGUCAAAUCCCCUGUGCUUUCCAGUAGUUGGAUAAUACCUGUGAGUAGAAGCAAAAAAAAUGUAAACGUAUUUUUAUCUGCUACACAAAUUGUCACUU